Daphnia pulicaria is the source of this 1381-nucleotide long non-coding RNA. RefSeq lists it as uncharacterized. NCBI's taxonomy places the organism in Eukaryota, Metazoa, Arthropoda, Branchiopoda, Diplostraca, Daphniidae. The transcript has 2 exons. The record is from RefSeq and is a predicted model, not a curated record.
CUUUUCCCUGGGCGGAAAAAAAAAGAAACAAAAAACAACAAAAACGAAAAGUUACGACACGAGCGGCCAAGGUUUGCGAUCGCAAAACGCGACAGUCGGCGAUCGGGCGAUCGGGUGAUUAACAGCCAAAAAAACACACAAUUAAAAAGUGAAUUUUUUAAAUUUUAUUUGAAACGCGUUCGAAAUUAAAGGGGGAAGGACAGACAGGAAUUUUUCGUUGUCGCCGCGUGAUGUUGGAUUAAAAAAUUAUCCCGAUUAACUCCAUUUGAACUCGACUAUUUGUGUGUGAUCAGCUGAUCAUUCUCACUUCGCUCUCGUCACCUGCCGUCUGGAAGUCUUCAUCUCUUAAAUCAGUCCCGCCACCAGAGAGAGCCGCACACUCACGUCACCUAUUGCAUUUCCCCCUGGGUGCGUGUGGUGUGUGUGUGUGCUGUGCAGUAGCUUCUUCUUCUUCUUCUAAUACCGUCUGGGUGACGUCACCCAAUUAGAGGCGGGACUUACCAUAGGCCUACCACCUUCUCGACCAAUCGCAGCCCUGUGCGAAUCUCCGCCUAUACCCUUGGGUCCUUAUCUCCUCUUUCUCAUUUUUCUGGGCCUACAUUUUGGCUCCGGCCAAUCGCAUUCGUUCCUCUUGAAUUAUUUCCACCGUCGGAACAAAAAAUUAACAAGUUUGAUUCUUUUUUUUGUUUAACAAAUAAUAACGUGGCGGGUGAAACCUGUCGCUAAUGCGGGCAAAGGUUCGGUUCGGUUUCAAAGUGCAGUACUCCACGUGCGACAACUUUUUUUUUUUUUUUUUUUGUACCUUAACGAGGUUGGAUCAAUGGUUUUCACUUGCGAUAGCUUCAGAUGUGUGUGUGUGUCUUUUAUCAUUAUCUAUGCAGCAUCUCAUUCACGCUGUGAAUAAUAAAAUACCGCCGGCCCUUUUCCACCAGUGCCGGACUGAUUUUGACAUGGUGGUUGGUCGCCAGCUUUCACCUAUUCUUUUGCCCUACCAUUUGAAAUUUUUUUUUGGCUGUACAAUUUUUAGAUUAUGUUGAAAGCUUUCUUACUUAAGUUAAAAGCGGAUUAUUUUGUUCUUUUUAGUUUGAUCAAGAAAUUGAGAGGAAAAGGUUAAUUCAGCGAGCCGAAUUGCUUUUAUUAUUUAAUAGUUUUUUAGAUCUUUCAUAAAUUUUUAUUGUUCAUCAGAUACUAUAUAUGACUGAUUAUAUUUCAGUUAAUGCUACACGAAUUUUUCGGUUGGCUCUGCUGGGCUAGAUCCUUUGGUUUUGGUGGUUAUCUUUUGCCGCUUAUCGUUCCUUCCCUUGCAUACAUAUAAUUACUUUGAACAUUAUACAUUGAAAUUCACGUAUAAAUAAAAAAAUGUAUUCAGCCGACAGGCUUA